GACGAACCGUCCUAACGUUGUUCGGAAUCACUGGGCUUAAAGGGCGCGUAGGCGGUCGGCAAAGUCAGGGGUGAAAUCUUUCGGCUUAACCGGAAAAGUGCCUUUGAAACUAGUCGACUCGAGCGAGAUAGGGGCAUGUGGAACUUCCGGUGGAGCGGUGAAAUGCGUUGAUAUCGGAAGGAACGCCGGUGGCGAAGGCGGCUCACUGGCCCGGUACUGACGCUGAGGUGCGAAAGCGUGGGGAGCAAACAGG
This 253-nucleotide ribosomal RNA is filed under the name uncultured bacterium. RNAcentral's name for it is "partial 16S ribosomal RNA". It matches the Rfam family "Bacterial small subunit ribosomal RNA", at positions 524 to 776 of the family's 1533-position model. The record is from RNAcentral.